UUUCACAAGGGUCUCUUUCUCCCUGACAUAGUAGCAAAAGCAAGCCAGGUUUUGAAACUCAGUUGGAUAGUAAGACAAUGAAGGGAGAACAGAGCAUCUCUGUACUUCUGCAUUGACUAUAGUGUGAAUCCAAUAUAUUCAGAUUUCCAGGAAAGGCUUUGGUACCUCUCAUUUAUUCUUUAUGUAAAUAUUUUUAAGCACCUGUUUCAAGCCAGGUGCUGUGCACAGUCUUGUAAAAGCAGUGAGGGACAGUGUUGACUACAUUGUAGACUCAGUCCUCAGCAUGGACAACUGCUCUGCCAUACUGGAUAUUGGUAGCUGAGGGCAGUGGAAGGCUAGCAUGGAGAUCUGAGACCACUUUCACCCCAAGGGAUCUCAGAAAUGGAAGGCCACAGAAAAGAGGAACAAAGAAGGACAUGAGAACACAUUAAACUUCUUCCCAGAACCACCACAAAUACUUGGGUGAAAUUCAGUGGGAUUUUUUAAAAAAGAUUUUAUUUAUUUAUUCAUGAGAGACACAGAGAGGCAGAGACAGAAGCAGAGGGAGAAGCAAGCUCUCCAUGGGAAACCUGAUGAAAGCUUAGUGGGAUUUCUGAGGGUUCUAUAUUCAUAGGUUGAAGCAAGAUCUAGAAUCAUUUAGGCUCUAACAAUUUGUGUCCCUGUAUUGUUUCCAAAGACUGGCAAAGGGAUUACAUAUGCAUUUGUUUAUUACUGAUACUAGACCAAGAAGAAAAGGAGGGGAUUUCACUUUUUUUUUUUCUAUUGUACACUGACUUAUCUGGUGUCUUCUCCAAUAUAACAAGAGGAUUUCAAAAUUAUCCAAAUAAUAUAUGUAUCAGAUCUCCACAUCCCUGGGACUUGCAUACAUCACAUUAUGUUUUUUUUAGUAAAGCAGUUGUAUGUAGUAAUUAUCAUCACCUCUGCUACAGGGUAAGAAAUAGGCUGAAGAUUGAGUCACUAAGUCAUAUCGCAUUCCUAAGAAUUGCUCAGUCAGCAUCUUUAAGCCAAGGAUGGUGUGAGCCAUAGCUUUAUUACCUGUUCAGUUGCAACAAUUUAAACUGAGAUUGAUUGAGUUAUAUCCACCAAAUGAUAGAAAAGAACUUGUAAUUACUCCCUGUUUCAGAGUAGCUUAUAAUAAAAUAUAUAUUUUUUAAAAUUUCAUUUCUCACCACAGAUAGUUUUGUAUAGGUAUGAAAAGACAUUAUAAUAUGUAAUUAUCUGUAGUGAAGCGUUGCAGUGGGCACAUAAAAAUAUAAAAGUUUUGUUACAAUUGUUUUAUUACAAUUGCUCAUUAAACAUUUAUUUAUUUAGAUGAAUGCCUUGAGCAUCUCCACAUUACCAGCUACUGUGCUAGACAGUGGAGAGAAAAAAUAAUUUUUUUCUAAAAGAAAUUUAUAGUUUAGGAAGGUAGAUGAGAUUUGUAUUCCAGAUAGAAAGGACUGUCAUCUGAAACAUAAUAAGUGCAUAAUAGAAAGAACACUAGAACUAAGUUUGUGCCCCUACCACAGAUCAGAGGUGGAUCUUCAUGCUGUUGAUGGGGUUCAGGGUAGGCCACCCCAAAAUAUGUCAUUCAGGCAUAUUGAUUAUUUUUUUGGAUUUACUUAUUUAGAGAGAGAGUGAACUUGAGGCAGGGGGAGGGAGAGAGAAGCAGACUCCCCCUGAACGGGAAACCCAGAAUCCUGAGAUCAUAACCUGAGCCGAAAUCAAGAGUAGGAUGCUUAGCUGACUGAGCCACCCAGUUUUUGAUUAUUUUGGAUUAAAGUUACUUAGGAAAUAGCCAGUGCAAGAAUGCUCUGACCCUUUUCUGUCCCCCUGAAAGCAAGAGAUAAAUUCCUCUGGUGAAAACUACUCUACCUGCACCUGCAGGGUGGAGACAUUGUUAUCACCAGAGGUAGAUAAUUAAGGGCUGAG
This 1911-nucleotide long non-coding RNA is filed under the name Canis lupus familiaris (dog). RNAcentral's name for it is "lncRNA (ENSCAFG00000051162.1, ENSCAFG00845012556.1)". The record is from RNAcentral. Lineage: Eukaryota; Metazoa; Chordata; Mammalia; Carnivora; Canidae.